GUAGGGAAUAUUGCACAAUGGAGGAAACUCUGAUGCAGCGACGCCGCGUGAGUGAUGAAGGCCUUCGGGUCGUAAAACUCUGUGAUAAGGGAAGAUGAUGACGGUACCUUAUCAGAAAAGACCGGCUAACUUCGUGCCAGCAGCCGCGGUAAUACGAGGGGUCUAAGCGUUGUUCGGAAUCACUGGGCGUAAAGCGGGUGUAGGUGGCUAUGCAAGUUGGAUGUGAAAGCCCCGGGCUCAACCCGGGAAGUGCAUCCAAAACUACGUAGCUUGAGUGCGGGAGAGAAAGGCAGAAUUCCUGGUGUAGUGGUGAAAUACGUAGAUAUCAGGAGGAACUCCGGUGGCGAAGGCGGCCUUUUGGUCCGAUACUGACGCUGAGGCGCGAAAGCGUGGGGAGCAAACAGGAUUAGAAACCCCAGUAGUCC
RNAcentral lists this ribosomal RNA (425 nucleotides) under uncultured bacterium. Its description in RNAcentral is "partial 16S ribosomal RNA". It matches the Rfam family "Bacterial small subunit ribosomal RNA", at positions 354 to 796 of the family's 1533-position model. The record is from RNAcentral.